CACGUAGGGGGCAAGCGUUGUCCGGAUUCAUUGGGCGUAAAGAGCUCGUAGGCGGUUCGAUAAGUCGGGUGUGAAACCUCCAGGCUCAACCUGGAGACGCCACCCGAUACUGUCGUGACUAGAGUCCAGUAGGGGAGCGUGGAAUUCCUGGUGUAGCGGUGAAAUGCGCAGAUAUCAGGAGGAACACCGGUGGCGAAGGCGGGUCUCUGGGCCGAAACUGACGCUGAGGAGCGAAAGCGUGGGGAGCGAACAGG
RNAcentral lists this ribosomal RNA (254 nucleotides) under uncultured bacterium. Its description in RNAcentral is "partial 16S ribosomal RNA". It matches the Rfam family "Bacterial small subunit ribosomal RNA", at positions 524 to 776 of the family's 1533-position model. The record is from RNAcentral.